CUUUUUCUUCCCCCAAUUCCCGAGAACCUCUCUUCCCCGAUCUCCUCCUCUUCACAUCGCGCCCGACUCUUGCCUCCUCUCCCGAUUCUUUCUCGUCGCCGGUUGACAUCGCCGACUCCGGGAGCCACCGACCGACUUCUCCUCUUCGUUGGCUCAGCCCCAUCGUCGAUUGCCAGCAAGAUCGCCACGACCGGCCGGAUUCACUCCUCCUCUCACGACUCUGCCCUAGGUCGCCGACUGCGCCUCCUCACGCCACCGCACGUCGACGCCAUCGCCGAUCUUGUGUUUCUAUUUCCCCUCUACCUCUCCUCUACCAACACCAGCCACUCGCGGGAUGAUUCCGGUGCCCCGAUCCAGUGCCAGACCUCUCCCUCUCGCGUCUCUGCUGAUGCCGUGGGAGCCCGAUGUCGAGCCACAGUGCCGUCGACUUCGAUCAACCCACCACUGAUCAAAAGGGAGAGGAUCUGAACCCUAGUUCGGUCCCUCAUUGCCUCAUACGCGUGCUGUGGUGUCGACCAAUGGAGCCUCUGUUCCAACCGAGAUUGUGUUGCCAUCUACACUGUCAUCGGCCAUUUGUUUCAAGAAAUGCGUACUAGGCCAGUGAACCAUUGGAGAAGGGGUUAUUAACAUGGAACUAAGGGUGGAUAUCGGCAGAGCAAUGUUUGGCUAAGGGAUAGACAUCUGAUCGCUGUCUGCACAUCAGGGACUUGGAGUCGGGACGAGCGUCUCGACGCGGAAGUACUUAGCACGAUCUACACUUUGAGGCGGG
Zingiber officinale is the source of this 769-nucleotide long non-coding RNA. RefSeq lists it as uncharacterized. The record is from RefSeq and is a predicted model, not a curated record. The transcript is spliced from 3 exons. Lineage: Eukaryota; Viridiplantae; Streptophyta; Magnoliopsida; Zingiberales; Zingiberaceae.